Molecule: ribosomal RNA, 425 nt
Filed under: marine sediment bacterium BB0608_2216_7.2_16G0
Lineage: Bacteria
Description: bacterial SSU rRNA
Rfam family: Bacterial small subunit ribosomal RNA
Source: RNAcentral
GCGGCGGACGGGUGAGUAACACGUGGGUAACCUGCCUGUAAGAUUGGGAUAACUCCGGGAAACCGGAGCUAAUACCGGAUAACAUUUCGAACCGCAUGGUUCGAAAUUAAAAGAUGGUUUCGGCUAUCACUUACAGAUGGACCCGCGGCGCAUUAGCUAGUUGGUGAGGUAACGGCUCACCAAGGCGACGAUGCGUAGCCGACCUGAGAGGGUGAUCGGCCACACUGGGACUGAGACACGGCCCAGACUCCUACGGGAGGCAGCAGUAGGGAAUCUUCCGCAAUGGACGAAAGUCUGACGGAGCAACGCCGCGUGAACGAUGAAGGCCUUCGGGUCGUAAAGUUCUGUUGUUAGGGAAGAACAAGUACCAGAGUAACUGCUGGUACCUUGACGGUACCUAACCAGAAAGCCACGGCUAACUACGU